RNAcentral lists this small RNA (30 nucleotides) under Bombyx mori (domestic silkworm). RNAcentral describes it as "piRNA piR-bmo-1816132". The record is from RNAcentral. Lineage: Eukaryota; Metazoa; Arthropoda; Insecta; Lepidoptera; Bombycidae.
AAGGAACCGAUUUCGCAUACUUGCGAGAGU